RNAcentral lists this ribosomal RNA (497 nucleotides) under uncultured bacterium. Its description in RNAcentral is "partial 16S ribosomal RNA". It matches the Rfam family "Bacterial small subunit ribosomal RNA", at positions 28 to 507 of the family's 1533-position model. The record is from RNAcentral.
GACGAACGCUGGCGGCGUGCCUAAUACAUGCAAGUUGAGCGCUGAAGGUGGGUACUUGUACCAACUGGAUGAGCAGCGAACGGGUGAGUAACGCGUGGGGAAUCUGCCUUUGAGCGGGGGACAACAUUUGGAAACGAAUGCUAAUACCGCAUAAAAACUUUAAACACAAGUUUUAAGUUUGAAAGAUGCAAUUGCAUCACUCAAAGAUGAUCCCGCGUUGUAUUAGCUAGUUGGUGAGGUAAAGGCUCACCAAGGCGAUGAUACAUAGCCGACCUGAGAGGGUGAUCGGCCACAUUGGGACUGAGACACGGCCCAAACUCCUACGGGAGGCAGCAGUAGGGAAUCUUCGGCAAUGGACGAAAGUCUGACCGAGCAACGCCGCGUGAGUGAAGAAGGUUUUCGGAUCGUAAAACUCUGUUGGUAGAGAAGAACGUUGGUGAGAGUGGAAAGCUCAUCAAGUGACGGUAACUACCCAGAAAGGGACGGCUAACUACGUG